AUUGAACGCUGGCGGCAUGCCUUACACAUGCAAGUCGAACGGCAGCACGGGAGCAAUCCUGGUGGCGAGUGGCGAACGGGUGAGUAAUAUAUCGGAACGUGCCCGGUCGUGGGGGAUAACGUAGCGAAAGCUACGCUAAUACCGCAUACGAUCUACGGAUGAAAGCGGGGGAUCGCAAGACCUCGCGCGAUUGGAGCGGCCGAUAUCAGAUUAGGUAGUUGGUGAGGUAAAGGCUCACCAAGCCGACGAUCUGUAGCUGGUCUGAGAGGACGACCAGCCACACUGGGACUGAGACACGGCCCAGACUCCUACGGGAGGCAGCAGUGGGGGAAUUUUGGACAAUGGGCGCAAGCCUCGAUCCAGCAAUGCCGCGUGCAGG
Molecule: ribosomal RNA, 379 nt
Filed under: uncultured bacterium
Lineage: Bacteria
Description: bacterial SSU rRNA
Rfam family: Bacterial small subunit ribosomal RNA
Source: RNAcentral